UGGGGAAUCUUGCGCAAUGGGCGAAAGCCUGACGCAGCCAUGCCGCGUGAAUGAUGAAGGUCUUAGGAUUGUAAAAUUCUUUCACCGGGGGCGAUAAUGACGGUACCCGGAGAAGAAGCCCCGGCUAACUUCGUGCCAGCAGCCGCGGUAAUACGAAGGGGGCUAGCGUUGCUCGGAAUUACUGGGCGUAAAGGGAGCGUAGGCGGACAUUUAAGUCAGGGGUGAAAUCCCGGGGCUCAACCUCGGAAUUGCCUUUGAUACUGGGUGUCUUGAGUGUGAGAGAGGUAUGUGGAACUCCGAGUGUAGAGGUGAAAUUCGUAGAUAUUCGGAAGAACACCAGUGGCGAAGGCGACAUACUGGCUCAUUACUGACGCUGAGGCUCGAAAGCGCGGGGAGCAAACAGGAUUAGAUACCCUGGUAGUCCACGCCGUAAACGAUGAUUGCUAGUUGUCGGGAUGCAUGCAUUUCGGUGACGCAGCUAACGCAUUAAGCAAUCCGCCUGGGGAGUACGGUCGCAAGAUUAAAAACUUAAAGGAAUUGACGGGGUCAUAGCUGUUUCCUG
Molecule: ribosomal RNA, 562 nt
Filed under: uncultured bacterium
Lineage: Bacteria
Description: partial 16S ribosomal RNA
Rfam family: Bacterial small subunit ribosomal RNA
Source: RNAcentral